GAUGAAGAACGUAGCGAAAUGCGAUAAGUAGUGUGAAUUGCAGAAUUCCGUGAAUCAUCGAAUCUUUGAACGCACAUUGCGCCCGCGAGUAUUCUCGCGGGCAUGCCUGUCCGAGCGUCAUUUCAACCCUCAGGGCCCGCCUGCUUCGGCAGGCGCGGCGCUGGUGUUGGGGAUCGGCCUAACCGCCGUCCCCCAAAUACAGUGGCGGUCUCGCUGCAGCCUCCCCUGCGUAGUAGCAACACUCGCAUGCGGAGCGCGGCGCGGCCACGCCGUAAAACCCCCGACUUUCUGAACGUUGACCUCGGAUCAGGUAGGAAUACCCGCUGAACUUAAGCAUAUCAAUAAGCGGAGGA
RNAcentral lists this unclassified non-coding RNA (353 nucleotides) under soil metagenome. Its description in RNAcentral is "partial contains 5.8S ribosomal RNA, internal transcribed spacer 2, and large subunit ribosomal RNA". The stretch from base 1 to 120 matches the Rfam family "5.8S ribosomal RNA", at positions 35 to 154 of the family's 154-position model. The record is from RNAcentral.